AUCCCUAAAAACUAUUGAGUUCAGGACACAAAGUGUAAAAUCCAAAUAAGCAGAGACCGUGAUUUCUGAUUGAAUAAAGGACACUUUAUUGAGUGUUGCCUGAGUGUGGGGAAAAGGGCUGGGAAGACCCAGAUGGGAGGCAAGAUCCUCCUGGAGGUCCUGAGGCUCCGAGCCCCCUUCGGUGGGCGGGGGGCAUCGGGAACCUAAGAGCACUCUGCGGGGGCCACCUUCUUCUCCACAGUGCUCCCCUCGUGCGUGACCAGGCAGCUGAAGCUGCUGUGAGAUUUCCACUUGUCAGGCGUCAGGCUCAGGUAGCUGCUGGCCGCGUACUUGUUGUUGCUCUGCUUGGAGGGCUUGGUGGUCUCCACGGUGCUCCCCUCGUGCGUGACCAGGCAGCUGAAGCUGCUGUGAGAUUUCCACUUGUCAGGCGUCAGGCUCAGGUAGCUGCUGGCCGCGUACUUGUUGUUGCUCUGCUUGGAGGGCUUGGUGGUCUCCACAAGUCGCUGAUGAGGCACACCAGGGUGGCCUUGUUGGCGCCGAGCUCCUCAGAGGAGGGCGGGAAGAGUGUGACCGAGGGGGAGGCCUUGGGCUGACCUGUGGGGACGGAAGGCCGGUGGGUCAAGGCAGAUGUUUGUUGUGUCAGCACCUACCUGAGUGCUGGUGUGGGGGUACAGCUGUGUCCUGUCCAUGUCUUGGGCCGCAGGCGGUAGGCUCACCCACCUUCUGCUGGAGAGAAUCUGAGUGACAGAUUCUCUAGUUUCUGGGCCUCUGCAUGGCCUCAGGGUCUCUCCACAUCAUAUAUCCUUCUAAUCUACUCAGUCUACCCCCAGGACUAGAUAUCAAUGACCCCGAGACCCUGCUUUCUUUCUGAAUCUGUGUGUGCUUGGACACAGGUCUCAGGUGACAUCCCCCAGGUCACUUACCCAGGAUUUCCUAGAGCUGGCAUCUCUGGGUUGCAGGGCUCUGUUACCCAUGUGAGGAGUCUGUUUCCUGCCUCCAGGCCACCUCAUGCCUUCACAGCAGCCUUGCCCACCUCCCUAGAUACCCACCUUCUAGGGUUGCUGAAUGGGAUGGGCUGAGAACCCUGGUUCUUGAACUCAGGGAGUCCAGUAGGGGAAGUUUUUCGUGUCAAGUGAAUUUCCAGUUCUGAGGAUGGGGCUGUGUCUGUCCUGAGGGUCUCCCUUUUCUGUGAAAACCUGGGGGUCUAUCUCUCCUAGCAUUUCCGGGUACCUAGCAGUACUAUCUCUGUCACCUGUCCCUAUCAGGGACCUCGGGUCCAGUAUCUUCUCAGGGGCUCUCCAGAUGGAGUGGGCUUUGAGGGGACGGACCUCUGCUGCCAGAGUUUCCUAGACCGGUCCUAUUCUUGGUGUCUAAGUAUCCCUACAUGGUGGAUGGUCCCAUCACCCUGGGCUCCAUUCUCUCAAGUCCUUGCUUUAUCCUUUACCCCUUGUCCUGCUUCCCCCUCCUUGUCUCCGAGUCCCCAUAUCAAGGCUCUCCUCAUUGUGCCCAUGCAGCCCUCUGCCCGGGAGCCCCCUCCACCAGAGACAGAGGCCAGCACCUGAGCGGCCCCCAUAAUCCUUCCAUCACCUUAUAGCCCUGCUGGCAGUCUGAGCAUCCCUCUUCCUUAUCCAUCUCCCCUCAUUUCCCCUCACAUUCAUGAUUCUAAUAGACCCUGACUGGGGAACCGACCACCCCCUAGUCCAGAGAAGAAGGUCCUGUAGGUAGAGGGCUGGACACACAGUGAGACCUGACUGUAUGUACAUCAGGAAGGAUUUUGGGGCUGGUCCCCUGCAGCUCCAAUACAACAUCCGACAAGGUGGGAGCAGUGGAAGCACGAGGGGCAGACGAAGCGGACGAAAGGCAUAGACCCCACAGACCUUUAGCCUCAGCCUUCAUCAAGUUGGAAAGGAGAGAAGCAUCACCUGAAAUUGUAGAGUGGGAGCCAAGGAGGCGAGAAAGGGGUAGACUCACCGAGGACGGUCAGGGUGGGUGCCUCCGCCGAACACAGCACACUGUGACACAGCCUCGAACAUAAACCCUCUGUCAGCCCCUCCACCCCUGACCCAGGCCCACCUGCAGCUGCUCGGGAGGCCCAAAGGGCAGCCUCCUUGUCACGGGUGCUGGUUGGGCAGAUGGGGGUGUGUGGUGAGGAGGUUGCCCCUGGAGACCAGGAAUUUCAUUUCCAUGGAAGGUUCAGAUUCCAUCCAUCCUCAGUCCUGGGGAGGGGUUUGCAGAGGAUGUCUGGGUAUGUCAUCGAUAUUCCCAGCUAAGUCCAUCGUUAGGGAGGAGCUGUGUGUCUCCUCAGUGUGUGUCAGUAUGUCAUUGUGGAAGGGGUGAGCAGGC
Molecule: long non-coding RNA, 2343 nt
Filed under: Canis lupus familiaris (dog)
Lineage: Eukaryota; Metazoa; Chordata; Mammalia; Carnivora; Canidae
Description: lncRNA (ENSCAFG00845020964.1)
Source: RNAcentral